AUAUAAACAGGUGGUGAGUUGGGUCUGGCACACACUCUCAGCCAACUGAUCGGUGAUCCUGCCUCACUAUUACUUUAAUCAAGUGUUAGUGUCAUCCCAGUACAGUACAUCAGUCCAAGAUGAACUUCUUCCGUGCCGUGGUAAUGUUCCUGGUAGUGGCGAUCUCCUUUGCCACAUUGGCCGAGGCUGCACCCUCCUUUGGUAGACGUAAUCGUAGCGGUCGUCGUGGAGGGCGGAGUGGUGGAAACAUUAACCCAGACCCCAACCUCGUCUUCACACCCGGCUUAGAGAAUCUCUACGGAGGUGUAGGUCCUGCCUUCCUGGGCGGAGUCUAAAACUCUCCAGGAGAAACUCAUGUUUCGCUGGUGUAAUACCUAUUUCCGUCGUGCUGUACCCGCACGGAGUAGUCCUGACGGAGGCCCCGUAGAGGAGAUACGGCAGCUAUCAGGUUGUUUUAGGUCCCCACAACAUGGCAUUUGGUCUCCGGGCAUCAGGGCUCCAACGUGCGUCAUUUUGAUGAGUAUCAGAUGACACAGUACGUGGAGCAACUACGUCCCAAGACCACCUUUACCCACAGGCCGGAAAUGUUACAGAGUCGAGUGAAAAAUCUUCAGAUUGUCUCCGACUGGUGACAAAAGCCGACACUUUUUGGCUGUUUAGUGAGUUGAGUCACGAGACGAGAGAAGUCGCCCAGGGCGAGUCUUUCGUGUGGCCCUUAUCAGUGUGUUCCUGACAGUGUUGAGCUGUGAGUAGACCUACGAGUCUGUCUCCAGCUGACAGUGUCGAGCUGUAAGUAGACCUGAGAGUCUAUCUCCAGCUGACAGUGCAGAGCUGUGAGUAACCCUACGAGUCUGUCUCAAGCUGACAAUGUUGAGCUGUGAAUAGACCUAAGAGUCUGUCUCCAGCUGACAGUGUUGAGCUGAGAGUAGGCGCGUGAGUGUCUCCAGCUGGCUUUCUUAAGCAUUGCUUGAAAAUAUCAUUUGGCUAAUUUCAGUUUUGCCAAGAGAUAAUUUACCGUUAAGUCCUACUUGUCUUAUAUCAAAAUAUGUCUAAUGUAAUAUGUCAUAUUAUUUUGUAGGAUGAAUAAAAUUUCUAUAAAGUGUAA
This 1105-nucleotide long non-coding RNA is filed under the name Homarus americanus (American lobster). RNAcentral describes it as "uncharacterized LOC121871238". Lineage: Eukaryota; Metazoa; Arthropoda; Malacostraca; Decapoda; Nephropidae. The record is from RNAcentral.